ACGGGAGGCAGCAGUGGGGAAUAUUGCGCAAUGGGGGAAACCCUGAUGCAGCGACGCCGCGUGAGUGAAGAAGUAUUUCGGUAUGUAAAGCUCUAUCAGCAGGGAAGAUAAUGACGGUACCUGACUAAGAAGCACCGGCUAAAUACGUGCCAGCAGCCGCGGUAAUACGUAUGGUGCAAGCGUUAUCCGGAUUUAUUAGGUUUAAAGGGUGCGCAGGCGGGACACUAAGUCGGCGGUGAAAUCUCAUGGCCCAACCAUGAAACUGCCAUCGAUACUGGUGACCUUGAGUACGAAUGAGGAAGGCGGAAUGAGUCGUGUAGCGGUGAAAUGCUUAGAUAUGACUCAGAACACCAAUUGCGAAGGCAGCUUUCCAAAACGCAACUGACGCUCAUGCACGAAAGCGUGGGUAGCGAACAGGAUUAGAUACCCUGGUA
This 434-nucleotide ribosomal RNA is filed under the name uncultured Roseburia sp. RNAcentral's name for it is "partial 16S ribosomal RNA". It matches the Rfam family "Bacterial small subunit ribosomal RNA", at positions 341 to 792 of the family's 1533-position model. Lineage: Bacteria; Bacillati; Bacillota; Clostridia; Lachnospirales; Lachnospiraceae. The record is from RNAcentral.